CACUUGUCUAUUAAGCCAGUGCACGAGAUUUCCACCCUCCUCAAAAUCCCUCGGUCCACGGUUUCCGAUGUAAGAACGAAGUGGAAACGUGAAGAGAGGUGUACAACCCAAAAGCGUUCAGGCUGACCAUGUUAACCCCCAAAGACCGUCGGAUGUUGAUGAGGGUCGCACGGCAUAAUGGUCUAUCACCCCUCAUCACCAUCAUACAGGAUCUACUCUAAGCACCAUGAUUGUUCGGCGCGAGGUACGGGAACUUUGUUUCCAUGGAAGAGCAGCUGCCCAUAAGUAUAUGAGCAUAUUUUGACAACAAACUUAGAUGCAUCGAAUAG
RNAcentral lists this long non-coding RNA (329 nucleotides) under Octopus vulgaris (common octopus). Lineage: Eukaryota; Metazoa; Mollusca; Cephalopoda; Octopoda; Octopodidae. The record is from RNAcentral.